AGUAGCCGCGGUAAUUCCAGCUCCAAUAGCGUAUAUUAAAGUUGUUGCAGUUAAAAGCUCGUAGUUGAAUUUCGGGACCAAUUUGUUGGUCGUGCCUCGGUACGUACUGGUAUUAUUGGUUUCUCCCUUCUGAAGAACCUCGAUGCCAUUAAUUUGGUGUCGUGGGGAAUCAGGACUGUUACUUUGAAAAAAUUAGAGUGUUUAAAGCAAGCAUACGCUUGAAUACAUUAGCAUGGAAUAAUGAAAUAGGACGUUUGAUUCUAUUUUGUUGGUUUCUAGGAUCGACGUAAUGAUUAAUAGGGAUAGUUGGGGGCAUUAGUAUUCAAUUGUCAGAGGUGAAAUUCUUGGAUUUAUUGAAGACUAACUACUGCGAAAGCAUUUGCCAAGGAUGUUUUCAUUAAUCAAGAACGAAAGUUAGGGGAUCGAAGACGAUCAGAUACCGUCGUAGUCUUAACCAUAAACUAUGCCGACUAGGGAUCGGAUGAUGUUAAUUUUUUCAAUGACUCAUUCGGCGCCUUAC
RNAcentral lists this unclassified non-coding RNA (520 nucleotides) under uncultured Glomus. RNAcentral's name for it is "SSU rRNA". It matches the Rfam family "Eukaryotic small subunit ribosomal RNA", at positions 569 to 1091 of the family's 1831-position model. Lineage: Eukaryota; Fungi; Glomeromycota; Glomeromycetes; Glomerales; Glomeraceae. The record is from RNAcentral.